Molecule: unclassified non-coding RNA, 631 nt
Filed under: Hevea brasiliensis (rubber tree)
Lineage: Eukaryota; Viridiplantae; Streptophyta; Magnoliopsida; Malpighiales; Euphorbiaceae
Source: RNAcentral
CUUGCCUUUGCCACCUGCAAGAGAUUUCCUUGGAAAGAGGUGCCUGCUUAUAUAGCAUGUCAAGUCAUAGGAUCAACACUAGCAGCUGGAACAAUUCGAUUAAUUUUUACAGGGAAGCAAGACCAAUUCACAGGAACAAUGCCAGCAGGAUCAGAUAUGCAAUCCUUUGUAGUUGAGUUCAUAAUCACAUUUUAUCUCAUGUUUAUCAUAUCAGGCGUCGCUACCGAUAACCGAGCUAUUGGUGAACUUGCUGGACUUGCUGUAGGUUCUACAGUUCUCCUAAAUGUGCUUUUUGCAGGGCCAAUUUCAGGGGCAUCAAUGAACCCAGCAAGAAGCUUGGGGCCUGCAAUUGUAUCAUCUCAAUACAAGGGGAUAUGGGUUUAUCUUAUAUCGCCGAUUCUUGGUGCUCAAGCAGGUGCAUGGGCGUAUAACAUGAUUAGGUAUACAGAUAAGCCUCUGAGAGAGAUCACCAAGAGUGCUUCAUUCCUCAAGAGUACAGGACGUGCUUGAUAAGAAAGUAAUCUUUUUUCGGCCUACCAUAUUUCAUGUAAAGCUAGAAAGAUUUUCUGUAAUUUUCCCAGAUCAUCAAUGGAAAGAUUUCCAAUGGUUGUCCUUUUUUUUUUUUUUUUUU